AAAAUACCUGCAAAGUGCUCUUGCCCACUGCAAUCCAAAAGGUCUUCCAGAUCACAGUUUCUAGUGUCACCUCACAAGCAAUCAGCUCAUCUAUAGAUAAACUUGAAGAAGACAGCAGACAAGGAAGCUUAUCCCACACAUGGUGUAUGUGAUACUAGGCCAGUGUCUACUUCUAACUCGCUGAGAAAUACAAUUUGCAAAUCUCUUGUCUUACAUAGACAAACAUACAUGCUGAAGUCUUGGGAAAUAAUUUGGGCUUUUCUUUUUUUCUUAGAAAUGUUGGGAAGCAAUUCAAUUCUAUCUCAACUUAGGUGCUUAUCUCUAUACUGAAUGUUUGAGAACAGAAAGCUGUUGAGGGCAUGAUCUGUGCCCCCCAAGAGCUUAUCAUCCAAUGAGAAAGUAGAAGCCGAGGUACCAUGUUGCUUAUCCAGAACAGUUUAUAGACCUUGUGUCCUUUGUUAGAUGGAAGGUUCUGUAAAUCAGUAGUAAUUUGCUGUGUCAUGUGAAACCCUUUGCUGUUGCCAGGAAAUAACUAAAGCACCAAAAAGCUUUGGCAAAAAUAAUCCUGGAAAAGGAGACCAGGCAAAAGAAGACUUUCCACACCUAUACUGAGCCUGGGAGUUACCCCUAAAAAAAAAAAAAAAAAAAAAAAAAAAAAACUAAUCUGAGAGAGAUGUUUACACAUUUUUAAUACUCUCAGUUUGUAGAUAAUGGAUCUAAUUUAAUGUCAUGAAUUAUAUUGUCUCUUGUCUCAUAAGUAACAUACAUUUUUGGCUGUCUUAACCAGCUGUCAUUCAAUGAAUGAAGUUAAUAACUCAGGUACCUGAUGCCAAAAAUAAAUCUCUAAUAGAACUGAGAAUUCAGAGAUAAAUACAAGGCUGUAUGUUAAGUAAGUGGUAAGCCUUACGUUUCAGAUCAGGGGAAAGAAUGGCUUAGUCAACAGGUAGUAUUGAGACUGUAACCUUAAGGGGUGGGGGAAAGGGAAACUCAGCUCUCUCACAAAAAUUAAAAAUUCCAGCCACACUAGAAGUGAGUCUUCUGUUUUGGAAAUUCAAAGCCUUGAUAAUAUAUGAAAGUGAAUAGCUUUACAAAUAAGUUAUGAAGAGCUGCUCAGCCUUGGCAGAGCAAAGCACACAUGAAACACACUAUCUUUGUUGAGAUCCAGUUGGUGAACAUGAGACACGAGGAUCAAGAGCUGACAAGUGUGGAAAAGUAGGAAUCUGACAUCACGUAAGUUUGCACAGCCACUUUUAAAGGCAGCUGGGUAAUUGAAAUUUUAGAUGCCCUGUGACCCCAUGGUUCCAAUUUUUAAUAUCUACCCUAAAACACACACACAGAGACGUUCACAAGGCAGCUUGUAAGAGUAUGCUAUUGGAAAAAUCAAAAUCCACCAAGAUAAUGGAAUAUGCUCAAUGCUACAACAUAUUAGGUAUCAGUGGGAAAGAAUGAAGAAGUAAGAAUGUGUGCUGACAGUAGAUGUCUAGGAGGUAAUGUUAACUUUGUUAAAAGUCUGGGGGGAAAAUACAUGUAAUACACAUGAUACUGUUGGUAUUUUAAAAAAAUGCCAUACACAAUACUGUAUAGUGUACUUCUGCAAAUACCUUUCAGUGUACAAUAUAAAUAUAGAGAGAAGGUUUGGAAGAAUACUAACCAAGCUGUUUACAGUAGUUUGGUGGUGUGUGUUAGCUUAAACUGUAAUAUUUGAUGUUUUUGAAUCUGCAUUCAUGUACUGUUUGUGUAAUGACAAAUUAAUAAAUUAGAAAUAAAAUGCAAUAGAAGGUGU
Molecule: long non-coding RNA, 1783 nt
Filed under: Cricetulus griseus (Chinese hamster)
Lineage: Eukaryota; Metazoa; Chordata; Mammalia; Rodentia; Cricetidae
Description: lncRNA (ENSCGRG00015035553.1)
Source: RNAcentral